Molecule: ribosomal RNA, 271 nt
Filed under: uncultured prokaryote
Description: partial 16S ribosomal RNA
Rfam family: Bacterial small subunit ribosomal RNA
Source: RNAcentral
UACGUAGGUGGCAAGCGUUAUCCGGAAUUACUGGGUGUAAAGGGCGCGCAGGCGGCCCUGCAAGUCGGAUGUGAAAGAUCAAGGCUCAACCUUGACAGGCCAUUCGAAACUGUGGGACUUGAGUGUCAGAGGGGAAAGUGGAAUUCCUAGUGGAGCGGUAAAAUGCGCAGAGAUCAGGAGGAAUACCGAAGGCGAAGGCAGUCUUCCAAGCCGUUAUUGACGCUCAACUGCGAAGGUGUGGGUAUCAAACAGGAUUAGAUACCCCGGUAGU